AGUGGGUCAUUGUUGCUAAUGAUUAUGCAAAAGUGUGGCCAAAGACACAUGAGUUUAGUUUUGUUGUGCUCCUUCUUUGCCUUCCUUAGCCAUAAAAGGGGGACAAAAUUCAGCACCAUACUGAAGAAUGAAGUAACUUCAAAUUCAUGCUAAGUCUCUAAGCACUAGAUUUGCCAGGCAUAAUAUUAGUACUAUAAAGCGUUAGAUGAAAAGUUCAUUCCAGAAUACCUCUUCAAGUCAGAAAACUAAAGUAUUUUCUUUGCUAGUUACAAUAAUCUUCCCUUUCCUUGUGUCAAGAAAGACAAUGGAGAGACGAGGCAGCCAGAAUCCCCGUGACUUUCGUAUCUAUUUUACUGAAGGUUGUACAACCCAGAGAAAUUAAUUCCACAAGGGGGAGACAGGGUCAUGCUAAAUUUCCUGAGAUGGCGAAAAAGAAUAAAGCUGUUGGAGGACUUCCAGAGACUUUUUAGGGCCAGUCAGAUUGCCUGCUCUUCCUUUAAUCCCACCACUCACUGGGCCAGUAGAGAAAAAGCUAGAAGGCCACAGAAGCUGAAGCUCGUUCCCAAGCAGACCUUUUAAUGAAGACAACAAGCGGCUUCCAACUUGACCUUGUUCUUCCACCUUAGCCUGUGACACCCCUGUCCACCAACCCUCUUUCUCCUAGCAACCAAAUUCUGUUCUCCCCUCCACUUCCUGUUCUCAGGCCUUCUCUUAGUCUUCCUGGGGGAGGAACUAAAACCCCCGCUGCCCGCCAGGUGUGCUUCCUCCCAGAGCACUGGCAGCCUGUGGGAUUUCCAGCUGGCAAGCAGGGAGGCACCUCGAAGCCGACAGGCCGCAGGGAAACCUGAAAGCCAUGCUGUGGGUCCCCAGGAGACGAGCAACAACUCAGCCGCCAUGUUUGCUGCUUCCUGGGCAGCUCCAGGUUGCUGUCUGUGCGUCAGAGUGGGCCUUCCGGAAGGAGAGGGUCUAGCUUGGGUACUCAAGUGCUUCAGGGCUCGCAUUACUGAUCGUUCAUCAAACUCACUUCUGUGAGCUCCUUGGACACCUCUGGCUUCACCGCCGCCCUGCCUCAACCCACCUUCCACUGCAGCCGCCGUCACCUGUCCUAUCUGAUAGAACGUGAGUCUGGGGACCCCUGACAGAGGGACCGGCCUUUGGCUUCAGUUUCAGAACCCCGGCAAGGGCAUCUGGGGCCACUCAGACAGGCAGCAGCAGUGGGCCCGGUGCCCAGCAGGCAAAGGGCUGAGCACAAGCGCUGGGUGGGGCUGAGCUGGGGGCCACAAGGACUCCCAGCGCUGACCGCUUGCCAGUCACCAGGACUGUUUUCUGUCGUGGCUUCGGCAAGAAGGAAGCUGCAAAGCCUGAGCCAGAAUGUCGCAGGCAGGGGCAUCAGCAUAAGGAGCGGCAGAUGCAAAAGCCCGGGGCAGAGGGCAACUAGCUCCCACAGGAGGCUCCAUCUCUGAUGGAGGAUGCAGCUGCUGGUGUGAGCGGGUCAUGCCACGGUGCUUGUGGAUGACAAAGAACACAACACUUAUAUGGACCGCCCCCCCCACCGGGGGUACUGACAGUGUGGUAAAGCGUACCCUAUUCUUUCCGAGGACUUAUCGGUUUUAGUUUUGUCUUUUCUGUGUAUAACUUGUUGUUCAAUUUUGAUUUAAAAUCUUUAAUGAUGACAGCACAGCCAAAAGGUCCAUCGGCCAGCAAACGGAUAAACAACACAUGGUACAUACAUACGAUGGAGUAUUAUUCAUCCUUAAACAGGAAGGAAAUCCUGACACAUUCGACAGCUUGACUGAACCUUCAAAACAUGAUGCUAAGCACAUAAGAAGUAACACAUGCCUUGGAAGGAGUAACAAAGGGACAAAUUCAUCGUAAUUCCACUUCCGUGAGGAACCUGUCACCAUAUUCAGAGAGACAGGAAGCAGAAGGCAGCUGCUGAGGUUGAGGAGCCGAGGCAGGUGCUGGCGUUUCGCAGAUCCCGUUUUAGUUGGGGAACAGGAAAUAUCCUGCAUCGGCGAUGGUGACCGUUGUACAAUGCUGUGGAUGUACUCAGUACCCCUGGACUGCUCACAGGAAAAUGAUUAAAAUGGCAAAUUUUAUGUUAUAUAUCUUUUACCACAAUGCACUUUAGAAAAUACUUCAAGCUUACAGGAAAGUGCAUAUAACAACCACUUGCACAAGUUCCUGGAUUUAAUAAAUGCUUGCAUUUCACCAUGUUUGCUGCUCUUUUUUUGAAGUAAUAAAUCAUCACAGAUGCAAUAAUCCUUUCUUCCCCCUCCAUCCAUUUCAUUCCUCU
Molecule: long non-coding RNA, 2296 nt
Organism: Chinchilla lanigera (long-tailed chinchilla)
Lineage: Eukaryota; Metazoa; Chordata; Mammalia; Rodentia; Chinchillidae
Source: Ensembl